RNAcentral lists this ribosomal RNA (460 nucleotides) under uncultured bacterium. RNAcentral describes it as "partial 16S ribosomal RNA". It matches the Rfam family "Bacterial small subunit ribosomal RNA", at positions 338 to 795 of the family's 1533-position model. The record is from RNAcentral.
CCUACGGGAGGCUGCAGUGAGGAAUAUUGGUCAAUGGGCGGGAGCCUGAACCAGCCAAGUCGCGUGAGGGACGACGGUCCUAUGGAUUGUAAACCUCUUUUGUCGGGGAACAAAGACGCCCACGGGUGGGCGGAUGAGUGUACCCGAAGAAAAAGCAUCGGCUAACUCCGUGCCAGCAGCCGCGGUAAUACGGAGGAUUCAAGCGUUAUCCGGAUUUAUUGGGUGUAAAGGGGGCGUAGACGGCGAUGCAAGUCUGACGUGAAAGGCGGGGGCCCAACCCCCGGACUGCUGUGGAAACUGGAAGGCUGGAGUGCGAGAGAGGUAAGCGGAAUGCGUGGUGUAGCGGUGAAAUGCGUAGAUAUUAGGAGGAACACCAGUGGCGAAGGCAGCUUACUGGACUGUAACUGACGUUGAGGCUCGAAAGCGUGGGGAGCAAACAGGAUUAGAUACCCUAGUAGUC